UAAACACUGUGUUUGGGGACUCCUGAGCGUUUGAGGCCAUCACAUCAAAGAGCGCAAUCUCUUGUCACGGCGACCGACGCCGUGACCUCUGACCCCGGCGGGCGCAGAGUGGGACGAAGGAGAGUCUGGAAUGAUGCAAGUGGUCCACCAUCGUCCAGCCAAUGAGGACUCAGCAUGAGGUGUGAACUAAAAUCACGUCGACAUAGCUAACUGGAUAAAGUCAGCAACAAUCAAAGUGCUUCUGGAAGAUUGGAGCGCCAACCCAGAGGCAUCACACUGCGGUCCCAGUGACCAACACCUGAUUCAAGUGGGAAGAAACGGCGAAACUGCACCUACCCGUUGUGUUUACUGCAGU
This is a long non-coding RNA of Pungitius pungitius (ninespine stickleback), 355 nucleotides long. RefSeq lists it as uncharacterized. NCBI's taxonomy places the organism in Eukaryota, Metazoa, Chordata, Actinopteri, Perciformes, Gasterosteidae. The record is from RefSeq and is a predicted model, not a curated record. The transcript has 3 exons.